GAUGAACGCUGGCGGCGUGCCUAAUACAUGCAAGUCGAGCGAACAGACGAGGAGCUUGCUCCUCUGACGUUAGCGGCGGACGGGAGAGUAACACGUGGAUAACCUACCUAUAAGACUGGGAUAACUUCGGGAAACCGGAUCUAAUACCGGAUAAUAUAUUGAACCGCAUGGUUCAAUAGUGAGAGACGGUUUUGCUGUCGCUUAUAGAUGGAUCCGCGUCGCAUUAGCUAGUUGGUAAGGUAACGGCUUACCAAGGCAACGAUGCGAAGCCGACCUGAGAGGGUGAUUCGCCAGCUUGGAACUGAGACACGGCCCAGACUCCUACGCGAGGCAGCAGUCGGGACUCUUCCGCAAUGGGCGAAAGCCUGACGGAGCAACGCCGCGUGAGUGAUGAAGGUCUUCGGAUCGUAAAACUCUGUUAUCCGGGAAGAACAAAUGUGUAAGUAACUAUGCACGUCUUGACGGUACCUAAUCAGAAAGCCACGGCUAACUCCGUG
RNAcentral lists this ribosomal RNA (497 nucleotides) under uncultured bacterium. RNAcentral describes it as "partial 16S ribosomal RNA". It matches the Rfam family "Bacterial small subunit ribosomal RNA", at positions 28 to 507 of the family's 1533-position model. The record is from RNAcentral.